CUACCUUGUGGUAGAGCGCAUGCGCACAUCGAUGCUACGUCACAUAUUGCUUACUCAGCAGUUUUCUUAUAAAUACGUCCUAGCUGUGGAAGUUUUGUUUCAUGUGUUUUAUUUUAUUGAAGAUUACGGAACACAAUGACCUGCGCAGUUCGGUGGACACAUUGUGGCUGCGCUGCAUUUGAUCAAGUCUGUCACACAAUGUAAACGUAUUAAUGCGCAAAAAAGAGUUGCGGUGAUCUGUUGACUGUGUUUAAUUUAAUUCCAAUAAAAACGUGUUUCCCCUGUC
Xiphophorus couchianus (Monterrey platyfish) is the source of this 286-nucleotide long non-coding RNA. RefSeq lists it as uncharacterized. The transcript is spliced from 2 exons. The record is from RefSeq and is a predicted model, not a curated record. Lineage: Eukaryota; Metazoa; Chordata; Actinopteri; Cyprinodontiformes; Poeciliidae.